Molecule: long non-coding RNA, 10570 nt
Organism: Mustela lutreola (European mink)
Lineage: Eukaryota; Metazoa; Chordata; Mammalia; Carnivora; Mustelidae
Exons: 5
Source: RefSeq, a predicted model, not a curated record
UGACUGAGCCCCGCGGCGCGCGCCGGCUCCGCCAGGAGCGUGGGGUUGCCACGGCAACCAGCGCGGGCUGCCCUAGGGAUCCUCCGGAGUAGGAAGCUUCCCGCGCCAGCUGCGCUCCGCGUUGCGGUGAGCGGGCAGCCCUUCGCCCCAAGCAAGAGCCAGGGUCCAUGCUUCAGUGCCUUCAGUCAAAUCCGGAUAACAUUUAUUUAUAACUGCUGAUAGACUUUGGUGUUCUCGACAGUUCCAUAUCAGGAGUGAAUUAGAGGAGAGAAGCAGUGUGGUGCAGUGGGAAAUAUGGGAAGAGUAAAUGCUGAGUAAAUCUAUGCCUGGCAUCAAAACAUCUGCUACAUGGUUCCCAAGUUUUUUUGGUUAUCUACUAACUACAUGGACAAUAUGAUUAAAGUUAUAGAUUCUCACACUAGAGAAAACAGUUUUUCUUUUUUUCACAUCUCUUUAAAUUUUGUUCCUGAGAUGAGUGCCUCACUUGCCUGUCCUUAGUUCUGCCCCAUAAUUGAAUCCGGAGGUUCAGAUGACCACAGCAUGAGUCAACUCCUUUGGGUCUGCUUAAUUUUGAGAGAGGCACAGCAAUAAAGGGAACACAAGCAGGGGGAGUGAGAGAGGGAGAAGCAGGUUCCCUGCUGAGCAGAGAGCCCUAUGGGAAGCUCAGUCCCAGGACCCUGCGAUCAUGACGUAAGCCGAAGGCAGACACUUAACUGACUGAGCCACCCAGGUUGCCCUAAUAUUUUGUUCUUCAUUAAAUAACUGUAUCAAGGAUAUUUUGUUAAUUGAAGAAAAGAUAUAAAACUGUAUCUAGCAUAUACCACCAUUUGUGUGAAAUAUAUGUGUGUAUGCAUAUGAUCAUUAUUCCUGGAAAGAUAAAAAAAAAACCAAUAAUAGUUAUUCCUUCUGAGGAGGAUUUUUGGGUGGCUAAGAGAAAAUAGGAGGAAAACUAAGUUUUUACUCUAUAUCUUUUUAUGUCUUUCAAAAGUCAUGCUAUAUGAAUGUAUUACCUAUUCAAAAAUUAAUAGAUUUUAAAUACUCUCUUUUUUUCUAAUGAAUGUGUGAUAGAUGCCAUUAUAGUUUUCAGGCAAGAAGACAGGUUUCUGUGCUCCUGGAGAAGAUUUAGCCUUGGAGUAAAUCAGGCCUUGAUUUAGUAGAAAAUAAAAUUCAUUAUAAGAUAUCUGGAGUGUAACACAGUCAAAAUGGCAUGACUGUGUUUGAAUGGUCAGUAUUAAGGUGGAAGGCAGUUUUCAUUUUUUCACUCCUGACUUCCCUUACUCAAAAUGAGGUACAAGCAGACGUACAAACCAGGCAUACAGAAUUUUUUUUUAAGAUUUUAUUUAUUUAUUUGACAGACAGAGAUCACAAGUAGGCAGAGAGGCAGGUGGUGGGGGUGGGCGUGGGGAAGCAGGCUCCUCGCUGAGCAGAGAGCCCGAGGUGGGGCUCAAUCCCAGGUCCCUGGGAUCAUGACCUGAGCUGAAGGCAGAGUCUUUAACCCACUGAGCCACCCAGGCACCCCUAGAAUUUUUUUUUGAAGAUUAUUUUAUUUAUUUGAGAAAGAGAGCUCAAGCAGGAGGAGUGACAAAGGGAGUGAAUCUCAAGUCGACUCCUUGCUGAGCACAGAGCCAGGACAUGGGGCUCAGUCUCAUGACCUUGAGAUCAUGACCUGAACUGAAAUCAGGAGUUGGGGCUUAACCAACUGAGCCACCCAGGUGCCCCAGGCAAAUGUCCUGAGAUUAAAGAGACAGAAAACAAAUACUAAUUGAUAAUGGCAGUCUGUGCCUGAUAGUAAGUACAAAGUACGACUCAUUACUGACCCCUGCCCUUAGCAAUGCACAUGGGUUUUCUUGUCAAUAAUGUUAAUAGCUGUUAUGAGCCUUUAAUGAACAUUAAUAUCCAGAAUUCCAGGAGCACUUGGAUGUUGAAUCACAGGGGAUAUAUUCUGAUUUUAUGAAACCCUGUGUUCUAAAGACCAAAGAAUUAAGAGAGUACCUCAGGUUACUGUGGUGGGUGGUGGUCCUCAUAAUCGUGAAGAAACAUAGGUGCCUCCACGAAUUUCCUACUCUAGUUGGCAGUAGGGGGUCAUGACAGUGACAGCAAGAGCUAAAGAUUCUAGAAUAUAGUUGCUAGGCUAGGAGAUGGCAACAUAUGCUUCUCCAAAGAGGAGACUAUGAGAACCAUUAGAAAGAAUGGUGAUUCAGUAAUAAUGAAUAGAAUUAGCUUUUGUUUGUUACUAUGCUAACCCAAUUAGGUCCAGUUUCUGGUAUUAAAAUCCUUAAAAAAAGAAAAAUUCUUCAAUACCAAAAUUUACUCACUGAAUGUGUCAAUUCCUGAAGAGCUCAGGGGCAAAUGAUAAUUGACUUUUAUGAACAUGAAAAUGGUAAUUCAAUUUUGAGUCUGUACCUAACUAGGUCAAUGUCUGUAAAGCUUUCAAGAUCAAUAUCAGGAGGUGAUGGAGGGUUAUAUGGAUGUGCAGGAACAAUGGGGCCAAAUGGAUCUCCCAUUACAGAAGGUGGAAGAGGGCACUCAGCUCUGGAUAUGGCUAGAUUUGCUGCUUCUGGUAAUUUCUUCUCCAGACUAUUUACAAGUCUGGAAGAAACAGCUUUUGUACUUCAUUUUCAUAUCUUUUUUUUUUUUUUUUUAAUAUGUUGAACUUUGCUUGUAUGAACACAGUUGCCAUUAAUAGGUUGUUUAUUCAUGUCUGCCCGGACUUGUUAGAUGAAGUGCCCGGUUGGUAUAUUUAGAUUCAGUGUUCUCCCCCCUUAAUGGCUUUAAAUCACUAUUGAUUAUUAUUUAACAUUUAUAUAACUUCAUCAGAGAAGCAAAGAGCUCAGUCCAUCUUACUCAUUUUGCAAAUGUUGAUGCUGAGUUUUGGGGGGGCAAAAGGUAUUAAUCUAUCCAUAGUCAGAGGAACUUUAUUUUGCUAAAACUAGCUGACAGUUUGGAAUAAUAUAUUUUGUUCACUUAUAACAACAUACCCAAAUGGAUUAAAGAAUUUUUAAAAAUGAAUAAAAUAACUAAAGGAAUAUAUAUGUGUGUGUAUGUGUGUGUACAUGUGCCUAUACAUAUUUAGGGGCUAGAAAUUUAAUCCAAUUCAAAGACCUUUACUUUUGACUUAUUUUUGAUAAAUUUUAUUGAAAUAUGCAUACAAAAAAGUAUGCAAAUCAUAAGUAUGCUGGAUGAAUUUUCACUGAGUGAACACUCCUGUGUAAUUACAUAAAAGCAAAGGAAGAAAGCAUAAGGGAAAUGAUUGAUAAGAUUGACAACAUAAAUAAGUUAAAACAUCUGUAUGUCAAAAUAUGUCAAACAGAAUUAAAAGGGAAAAUGAUAAACUGGAAGAAUGUUUGCAAAUACAUGACAAGGCUAAUUACCUUAAUAUUUAAUUGUUUUCAAAGAAAAAAUCUUUAAGGAAUUUGAAAACCCUAGUUAUAAAAUAAAGUACACAGGAGGCAAUGCAAUAUGAGGGGAAAAAAAUAUCCUUCACUGGGAAUUAAAGAAAAUGGCUAUACUAAAAACGUCACACCCCAUGAUAAAAAGGUGCUGGAAAUAGGCCUUUGCAUACAUUUCUAGUGAGUGCACGAGUGAAGUUUAGUGUUACUGUGGGGUAGGGGAAGGGAUAGUGGCUGUGUGCAGUUUGCAGUAGGUAGGUACCAUGAGCCUGCAGCAUGUAUAGACACUUUCUUUUUUUUUAAGAUUUUGUUUAUUUAUUUGACAGAUGGACCACAAGUAGGCAGAGAGGCAGGCAGAGAGAGAGGAGGAAGCAGGCUCCCCGCUGAGCAGAGAGCCCGAUGCGGGGCUUGAUCCUAGGACACUGGGAUCAUGAACUGAGCUAAAGGCAGAGGCUUUAACCCACUGAGCCACCCAGGCGCCCCUAGAUACUUUUGCCAUAAAAUUCUACUUCUAGAAAUUGCUUGAAGUAAAUAAUAGUAAAACACAAAAAAUAACUUAAAAUAUCUGAAAUAGGAGUUUGGUUAAACAGAGUAUAGGUUCUCCAGCCAUUAAAAAACAUCACAGAAGAAUACUGAAUAGGAUGAAAAAAAUUACAGUAUGGUAUGUGAAGACAUCAAAAUAUAAAAUUAAAUGUGUGCAAAGAAUUCAGGUUUUGAAAUAAAUGGUAUAUACAUAUAUUUUUAAAAAAUACUGAUAGAUCUUACAUUAAAAUAUUAACAGGUUUGGGGUGCCUGGUUGGCUCAGUCAGAAAAGCCUGCAACUUCUGAUUUUGGGGUCAUAAGUUCAAGCUCCAUGAUGGGUGUAGAGAUUACUAAAAAAAUAAAUAAAUAAACUUAAAAAAAUGUGAACAGGCUUAAAUCUGGCUGAAGAAGUAUGGGUUAUUAGUUUUUCUCUUUAUGCUUUUCUAUAUAUUCCAAGUUUUCUGUAGUGAAUAUUAAUUCUCUAAUCAGACAAAAUAGAGGUAAUAAAAAUAAUAAAGGUUUUUUUUUAAAGUUUUCUACAGUGUGAUUGCAUAGAGUCUGUAUCCUAAGCAGUAAAAAUGUCCUCUUUACAUAUGCUAUCUGCAUAUAAAAGAAAUAAAAAUACAGACUCAUUUUAUCUUCCCUAAAAGUGUGAAGAUGGGGCACCUGGGUGGCUCAGAUAGUUAAGCGUCUGCCUUCAAUCAGGUCAUGAUUUCCAGAUCCUGGGAUCGGAGCCUCAUGUCAGGCUCCCAGCUCCGCAGAGAGUUUGCUUCUUCCUCUCCCUCUGCCUCUCCCCUUGCUUGUGCUCUCUUUCUCGCAAAUGAAUAAAUAAAAUCUUAAAAAAUAAUAAUUUAAAAGUUUUAAAAGCAUGAAGAAAUUUUAUCCUCCUCUGGAAAGAUGUACACAUUAUGGUUGCCUUUCUGUGGUGACAUUAUGACAAGCGUUCAACAUGUAACACCAGGAUUAAUCAAGAAUUACCACUAUUAAACUACCAAGGGAAUACUCUUGACAAACAAUAGAGAUACAUAUUCUCCUGAAACACCACUAGUUAAAAUGUAUUAGAUUGCUAGCGUAUCACAUUACUAUGAUAAUUCUCAGCGCUGUUUAAAGUGUUUGACUGCAUUCCGCUGAAUUACAAGUAUAUAAAUAUAAGCUUUUAUUGAUUUGUCUAAUAGGACAAUCUGUCAAAUUUAUGCCAUGGGAGGAUUACAUGAAUAUUUCUUUCCUCUUUUUAUGCAAAAGAUGUUGCCAUUCUGUCUUUGUAUGGAUAAAGAUGGAAGACCAUCUUUGAACAGAUCAUUAUACCUUGUGUAUCCUAGAAGGCAUGGACUGACUAUAGGAGAAAGGUAAAAAGAGGUGUUUAGUUUAAAGCCGGCUCUUGAACUGAGAAGUAGAAGGAAAACAUUUACAUCAGGAGCCCACAGGUCUUCCGAAAAGGGAGACAAAUUGCCCUAAUCCUUGCCCCCAAGUUUUCUACCCAAGGAUGGUUUCAGGUAGAUUCAUAGAUUUGGACUGGGUAGUACCAUCUGAGGCCCAGGUGCCAGUGAUGCAGCGAGGCCCCUGAAAUGAGGCUGUGGGAGCUAGACUCUGGCUUGACCCUCAGGCAGAAGGGGAAGCAGGACUGGGAGAAGUUGGCCCUGCAAGUCUGUCCUGAACCAGAAGUUCACAGUAGGUGAACUAGUACGAUGUUUUUCAGCGAAAGAAGAGAGAUAAUGUUAAGUCCCAUUUCUAAGCAGCAUUUACUUCAGGUAUGCAAUAUAAAAAAACGAAACAAGUGAAACUAAAGGAAUUGUUGAAAUUGGGCAUCAGGACAUAGCUCUUCACAACAAGAGAUAAUAUUUUUCUUUUUUAAGAUUUUGUUUAUUGAUUUGAGAUGGAGCAAGAGAAAGAGCACAAGCUGGGCAGAGGGAGAGGGAGAAGCAGGCUCCCCACUGAGCAGGAAGCUGGAGCAGGGGCUCAAUCGCAGGAGCUGAGCUGAAGGCAGACACUUAACCAACUGAGCCAGCCAGGUACUUAGAGAGGUAAUAUUUUUAAAAGACUUGUGAAAAGGACUUACGAAAAAUAUAACGAGGUUGGAAUUGUGCUUAUUUUUUAAUAAAAUCUUUAUAUUUUAGCUGACAGUAAUUAGCAUCUUGCUCAGAGAAGAUCAAAAACCUUAGCACUCCUGUGAAUCCUCCCAGUGUUGUUUAUUUAGGCUAUUAUUAUCAUAGUUAUACAUUUCAUGAUUUUUAACGUUUAUUGUCCAGUCUAGCAAAAUUUCCAUAGUGACUUAGUGUCAUUUCUCCAUUUUAACAGAGCCAGUUCUCACUGUCAUUUUCUUCACCAGUUUCUCUUGUUUCUGAGCUCCUUGCUUCAGUCUCAUAAUUGGCUAACUUUUCUUACCAAGUAGUUUUAACGGGUGUUGUGUUGCCUAAUGUUUUUGACUUACGACAAUAUCUACCUGUUACUUUGUUCCUUGUUUUUAAUUCAAAAAAAUUUUAAGACUUUAUUUUUCAGUAAUCUCUAUACCCAAGUGGGGCUCAAACUCACAACCCCGAGAUCAAGGGUCGCCUGCUCCACGGAUUAAGCCAGCCAGGCCCCCCUCUGAUACUUCUAUUUUUGAAUACUGUCUUCUCUGAAUCGAUUAUUCUUGGGUCACACUUUACUUCUCUUUUUGGGGAUUGUUUUAAUGAUCUGUGGCUGUGUAACAAGUCACUCAAAAUUUGAGCUAUUUACAACACACCUUUGUUGUGGUGUGCAGUCUCUGAGUGUCAGGAAUCCGAGAGUGGCUUGGCUGGGUCGUUAUGGCUCCUGAUAAUAUGUUCAAGCUGCGUCAUCUCAAGGGUUCACAGGCCCUACAUCUACUUCCAAGAUGGCUCUCUCAUAUGGUUGUUCCCUGACUGGUAGCACUCGACAUCAGUUCCUCUGUGCCUUCACGUUUGCAUAACCUACCCCAGAAUGCGCUACCCAAGAGAAGGUGAGAGUACAACCAGGACUGAAGCCGUAGUGCCUUUUUAUAACCCAGUCUUUGAAGUGACAUACCACUAACUCUGCAGGAUUCUAUUGGUCACACAGUCCAACCCUGCUAAGGUGAGAGAGUGGACUACACAAGAGUUUGCACACCAGGAGAUGGGGAUCAUGCAAGAUCAUCUUGGAAGCUGGCUAAUACUGUUCUUUUCCUUCUGGUGUUGAGUAUUACCAUAGAGAAGUUAGAAAGCAGCCUGAAUUCCUUCCCUUGCUAGUAGUUUACCUAUAAAACCUAGAUGGCUAGAAAAAAAUCUUUAUUUUUGAAGCUCUUUAGUUUGGGAGUUGAAUGUUCUAUAUCGGAUUUUCUUAGAGGUGAUUUUUUUCUUUUUCCUGGAGAUUCAGUUUUUGUUUCAGUUCAGGGAUAUCUUUUAAAUCAGAUCUUUGAAUAAAACUUUUCUUUCAUUUUUGGGUUCUCUUCUUCAAGAUGAAGGUAAAAAGGGGGCAGAGCUACUUACUGUAUGGAGUGCAGAAAGCAGCAUUUUCCCCUUGCUUCUUACCAGUAAAAACAAUCUUAGUACCUUGUUUAGCUCAAGCUAUAGACUGAAUGCUUCUGUCCUCUCAAAAUUCCUUUGUUGACAUCCUAAACCCCAACGUGAUGGUACAGGAAAGCGGGUCGUUUUGGAGGAGAUUAGGUCAUCAGAGCAGAGCCUCUCACAAAAUAGGACUAAUGCCUUUCUAAAAGAGACCCCAGAGAGCUCGCUUGCCCUUUCCAGCUCGCGAGGGCACAAUGAGAGGAUGGCAUUCUAUGAAGCAGGAAACAGGCUCUCACUAGAUCCUGAAUCUGCCAGCACCUUGAUCUUGGGCUUCCCAGCCCCAAGAACUGUGAGAAGUAAUUUUGUGUUGUUUAUAAGCCACCCCAUCGAUGAUGUUCUGUUAGAGCAGCAGCCUGAACAGACUGAGACAGUUUCUAAUAAGCACUCAGUAAUGUUAACUAAAGGCUUUAUGUGCAUCACAUCACAAUUCAAUCAGGUAAGGGCUGUUAAAAUUCCCAUUUGUUAAAUGCACAGACACCCAUUCAUAUUAAUAUGCCUGAUAAGUGGCAGAGUUGAAUUUGAAGCCAGGCCCUCUGACUUCAUAGAUCGGGCAAAGCAAAAUGUUGUCUUCUACAUCCAGAUGUCGGGCCCUCAGCUGCACACUCAGUAGCAAUGACAGCACCUUCAGCAAACACCGGCAUCACUGCUGCCAUUCAGCAGAUGGGGAGUGACCAGAGUCCUGUCUAAUACGGGCAGUAAAGUGGAGAAGGAGAGGAGAAACAGGGUCCCAAGAACUUGACCAAGUUGCUUAUGGAAGAAUAGUCUCCCGUUCCCCUUAGACGAAUUCUGGAGGAUAUGAGAAAACUGGACUUCCCAAAGAAAUAAAAGCAGAUCUGGGGAAAUAUAAAUUUAUGGCUGCUGUUGCCCAUAGUUCUACCCUGGCUGGCUCACCUAAUUGUAAAUAUAUGCGGAAUGAAGUUAUUAGACUAUGUCUAGUCACAAAGGGUUGACUCAACCCUUCUACAGUAGGGUGUUGGAAAAGCCUUUAGCUGAAAGUAAGAUAAGCAGCUCUCUACUUGCUCUCUCUAUCUGGCUCUCAUCCACCUGCUGGUCCUUUUGAAACUCUCAUACCAGUCUUCACCCUGGGUUGUAUCAUAGUUUCACGCCAGGCUGGGAACUUCCUGGAACGGGGCUGGGGGCAGGAAAUAGAAACUGUAUAAAUGCUGUCUGUGUACAGCUGUUCAAGGUUCAAGCUGAAACACUCAGUUUACACCCAGGACGUGCUGAUUGUUCUUGAUACUUGUUUCUAUUUGCUCCAGCCAGCUCUGUGUAUGUAGUGAGUCUCUUGCUCUCUGCACAUGGUUUCCUUUGCUUCCACUGCUGUGGUGGGAGGGUUUUAUUCAUGGCCUGCUUUUAGAGGGAGGUUCCAGAUGGAGUGCUUCAUGAGGACUCUCCCACUAUUCAGAAGCAAUUUAGUUCAGUUGUCUGGGGCAUUACUCAACGUCAGUUGCCUUGCCCGAAUCCCUAGUGCAUUAUUUAUGAUUAUCACAUAGCUUGAAGCAAGACAUACAUCUGCAUGUGAAGAACCAAUUGGUAACAGUGAGGAGUUGGAGUUUGAUUGCUUUAGAUUCUAGUCUGGACCUUGUUCUUCCUAACUGUGUGACUUUGGGCAAAAUACUUAACCUCUCUAAUCCUCAGUUUCCUUGGCAGUAAAAUGACAAUUAAAUGACACCCAGCAAGAAAUACAAAAAAGUAGCCCUCCCCCCCCCUUCUUUUGCAAGUUUUGAAUACUUACAAGACAGUUCCUUGCUAUUUAUUUACUUAUUUUUAAAAAUCUUUUUGGGAAAGGGUGGGGGAAGUAAUAUUAGGAACUAAUAUUUUUAUUCAGGGUUGUGAGAACACUUUAGCUCUCUGAAAUUUACAUUUCUUUUGUUCUUUGUUUACCAACUGCUUCUGACAAAAUGUAAAAAAAAAAAAAAGAUUUUUCUCAGCGAUUUGACUCUCUAUAUCAAGUGAUUUUCAGUCUGCUAAUGAUUUCCUCAAACAUAGAAUUCCUGAAUUUCUUGGAGGUUUUUAAAUUAAAUAAACAACAAUAAGAAAUUUAUUCAAAAGUACAUGUUGGUGAGUGAAGAACUAAUGGCAGGUUUUUUUUUAUUAUUGUGGUAAAAUAUAGAUAAUAUUUACCAUUUUAACCAUUUUUUAUGUGCACAGUUCGGUGGCAGCAAGUACCGUCAGAGUGUCAUGCAACCAUUACUUUUUUUUUUUUUUUAAGAUUUUAUUUAUUUAUUUGACAGACAGAGAUCACAAGUAGACAGAGAGGCAGGCAGAGAGAGAGGGGGAAGCAGGCUCCCUGCUAAGCAGAGAGCCUGAUGUGGGGCUCGAUCCCAGGACCCUGGAUCACGACCUGAGCCGAAGGCAGAGACUUUAACCCACUGAGCCACCCAGGCGCUCCUCAUGCAACCAUUACUAUCAUCUGUUUGUACCUUAUUCAUCUUUCCCAACCGAAACUGCAGCGGUUAAACAGUAACUCCCCAUUCUCUCCUCCCCACAGACCCUGGCAACCACCAGGCAGAAGGCUAUGAUAGUAGGUAUUUUUAAGGAGAAAGAACUGGAAUGGGGCUUCCCUAGUGAGUGGCAGGCAUUGCAUUUCUACCUCAAGCCUAUGUCAUUUCUAAGCUAUCCCACUGAGAUGUUAAUCUGGUUUCUUGGCACCCGUAGCCCCAGAGGAAUGCCCAGUCUGACCUGAGCACCUGACUCUGUGGGGGGCAGGGUGGGGACAGUCAAGGGCUCUUCGUGUGCCGCCCAGAGACCGGGCAACAGCCUCAUUCCUUCCUGCUGCUUUGAGAAAUCAGCUGUAGUCUUGAUAUCCUAUUUUAGGCCCUGCUCAGCCUCUCAUUCUUCCUUUGGAGCCUUGAAUUUCAAGCCAGGGACUCCAACUGGUUUGACACCCGCCUGCCCGUGCCAGCUCAGUUUCCACCCCACCAGGAAUUUACCAUUGAGCAACCCAACCCUGUUUCCUCCGGCCCAAAUACCGACCUAGUAAAGGCAGGCUAGCCCUUAGCGCUUAUCUGUAAACUGAACAGGGUGAAUUAGGUAAUCUCAAAGGUAGAGGGCAGCUUUAAAGUUUUCCUCUCUGUUUAGGACAAACAAGUGGUGGUCCUAACGUAAUACCUAGAUAAG